This 191-nucleotide antisense RNA is filed under the name Brachypodium distachyon (stiff brome). Its description in RNAcentral is "lncRNA IsrR". It matches the Rfam family "Antisense RNA which regulates isiA expression". Lineage: Eukaryota; Viridiplantae; Streptophyta; Magnoliopsida; Poales; Poaceae. The record is from Rfam by way of RNAcentral.
AAUAACCAAAUAUAACACCGGGGCUAAGGGUCAAGUUGGUUAUUUUUCUUACAUCCCCCCCCGCCCCCGGGGGCCCAGGUAUCAUAUACACCGCCAAAAUAAAGAGCCUUGAGUACUAGAAGAAAAGCACCUAGACCUAACAAAAUUAAAUGAAUACCCAAAAUUGUAGUCAUUUUAUUUCUAUCUUUCCA